RNAcentral lists this small nuclear RNA (167 nucleotides) under Echinops telfairi (small Madagascar hedgehog). Its description in RNAcentral is "U1 spliceosomal RNA (ENSETEG00000021686.1)". It matches the Rfam family "U1 spliceosomal RNA". Rfam says of the family: U1 is a small nuclear RNA (snRNA) component of the spliceosome (involved in pre-mRNA splicing). Lineage: Eukaryota; Metazoa; Chordata; Mammalia; Afrosoricida; Tenrecidae. The record is from RNAcentral.
AUGCUUAUCUGGCAGGGAAGAUACCAUGAUCACGAAGGUGGUUUUCCCAGGGUGAGGCUUAUCCAUUGCACUCCUGAUGUGCUGCUGACCCCUGCGAUUUCUCCAAAUGUGGGAAACUCGACUGCAUAAUUUGUGGUCGUGGGGGACUGCGUUUGUGCACUCCCCUG